GCGGUUUGGCACCUCGAUGUCGGCUCAUCACAUCCUGGGGCUGAAGCAGGUCCCAAGGGUACGGCUGUUCGCCGUUUAAAGUGGUACGCGAGCUGGGUUUAAAACGUCGUGAGACAGUUUGGUCCCUAUCUUCUGUGGGCGUAGGAGACUUGAGAGGGCCUGUCCCUAGUACGAGAGGACCGGGAUGGACGCACCCCUGGUGGUCCUGUUGUCACGCCAGUGGCACAGCAGGGUAGCUAUGUGCGGAAGGGAUAACCGCUGAAAGCAUCUAAGCGGGAAGCCUGCCUCAAGAUAAGGUCUCCCUCUCUUCGGAGCUGAAGGGCCCGGGUAGACAACCCGGUUGAUAGGCUGGAGGUAUACAUGCGGUGACGCAUUCAGCUGACCAGUACUAAUAGCCCGUGCGCCUUGUUUUC
This 413-nucleotide ribosomal RNA is filed under the name Desulfovibrio sp. RNAcentral's name for it is "partial 23S ribosomal RNA". It matches the Rfam family "Bacterial large subunit ribosomal RNA", at positions 2513 to 2925 of the family's 2925-position model. The record is from RNAcentral. Lineage: Bacteria; Pseudomonadati; Thermodesulfobacteriota; Desulfovibrionia; Desulfovibrionales; Desulfovibrionaceae.